This 261-nucleotide ribosomal RNA is filed under the name Depressigyra globulus. Its description in RNAcentral is "partial 28S ribosomal RNA". It matches the Rfam family "Eukaryotic large subunit ribosomal RNA", at positions 875 to 1106 of the family's 3401-position model. Lineage: Eukaryota; Metazoa; Mollusca; Gastropoda; Neomphalida; Peltospiridae. The record is from RNAcentral.
CCGCAGCGAUUCUGACGUGCAAAUCGAUCGUCAGACUUGGGUAUAGGGGCGAAAGACUAAUCGAACCAUCUAGUAGCUGGUUCCCUCCGAAGUUUCCCUCAGGAUAGCUGGCACUCGCCAACACGAAGUUUUUUCCGGUAAAGCGAAUGAUUAGAGGCCUUGGGGACGAAACGUCCUCAACCUAUUCUCAAACUUUAAAUGGGGAAGAAGCCCGGCUCGCUCGAUCACGGCACCCCUUCACGGGGGGCCGUGGAGCCGGGC